This 207-nucleotide ribosomal RNA is filed under the name uncultured bacterium. Its description in RNAcentral is "partial 16S ribosomal RNA". It matches the Rfam family "Bacterial small subunit ribosomal RNA", at positions 568 to 774 of the family's 1533-position model. The record is from RNAcentral.
CGCGCAGGCGGUCUUGCCCGUCAGGUGUGAAAGCUCGGGGCUCAACCCCGGAAGUGCACUUGAAACAGCAAGACUUGAAUACGGGAGAGGAGAGAGGAAUUCCUGGUGUAGAGGUGAAAUUCGUAGAUAUCAGGAGGAACACCGAUGGCGAAGGCAUCUCUCUGGACCGAUAUUGACGCUGAGGCGCGAAGGCGUGGGUAGCGAACG